GAUGAAGAACGUAGCAAAAUGCGAUACUUGGUGUGAAUUGCAGAAUCCCGUGAACCAUCGAGUUUUUGAACGCAAGUUGCGCCCAAAGCCUUUUGGCCGAGGGCACGUCUGCCUGGGCGUCACGCAUCGCGUCGCCCCCCACAAUUCUUCGUAAAGGGAACAUGUGUUUUGGGGGCGGAUAUUGGUCUCCCGUGCUCAUGGCGUGGUUGGCCGAAAUAGGAGUCCUUUCGAUGGACGCACGAACUAGUGGUGGUCGUAAAAGCCCUCGUCUUUUGUUUCGUGCUGUUGCUCGCAAGGUAAACUCUUUAAAAACCCCAAUGUGUCGUCUCUUGACGACGCUUCGACCGCGAACCCAGGUCAGGCGGGACUACCCGCUGAGUUUAAGCAUAUCAAUAAGCGGAGGA
This 404-nucleotide unclassified non-coding RNA is filed under the name soil metagenome. RNAcentral's name for it is "partial contains 5.8S ribosomal RNA, internal transcribed spacer 2, and large subunit ribosomal RNA". The stretch from base 1 to 122 matches the Rfam family "5.8S ribosomal RNA", at positions 35 to 154 of the family's 154-position model. The record is from RNAcentral.